AACGAACGCUGGCGGCAUGCCUAACACAUGCAAGUCGAACGAGACCUUCGGGUCUAGUGGCGCACGGGUGCGUAACGCGUGGGAACCUGCCCUUAGGUUCGGAAUAACUCCCCGAAAGGGGUGCUAAUACCGGAUAAUGUCUUCGGACCAAAGAUUUAUCGCCUUUGGAUGGGCCCGCGUUGGAUUAGCUAGUUGGUAGGGUAAAAGCCUACCAAGGCGACGAUCCAUAGCUGGUCUGAGAGGAUGAUCAGCCACACUGGGACUGAGACACGGCCCAGACUCCUACGGGAGGCAGCAGUGGGGAAUAUUGGACAAUGGGCGAAAGCCUGAUCCAGCAAUGCCGCGUGAGUGAUGAAGGCCUUAGGGUUGUAAAGCUCUUUUACCCGGGAUGAUAAUGACAGUACCGGGAGAAUAAGCUCCGGCUAACUCCGUGCCAGC
This 438-nucleotide ribosomal RNA is filed under the name uncultured bacterium. Its description in RNAcentral is "partial 16S ribosomal RNA". It matches the Rfam family "Bacterial small subunit ribosomal RNA", at positions 29 to 512 of the family's 1533-position model. The record is from RNAcentral.